RNAcentral lists this long non-coding RNA (132 nucleotides) under Peromyscus maniculatus bairdii (prairie deer mouse). RNAcentral describes it as "FMR1 antisense RNA 1 conserved region 2 (ENSPEMG00000005388.2)". It matches the Rfam family "FMR1 antisense RNA 1 conserved region 2". Lineage: Eukaryota; Metazoa; Chordata; Mammalia; Rodentia; Cricetidae. The record is from RNAcentral.
GGCGGAGCGGAGGGGGCCGAGCCCACUGUGGGGCGGGGCGUCUCGGGACACGUGACGUGGUUUGACUGUUUACACGAGGCGCGGGCAGAGCCCUCGGCCUCAGUCAGUCAGGCGCUAGGCAGCGUUUCGGUU